This 497-nucleotide ribosomal RNA is filed under the name uncultured bacterium. Its description in RNAcentral is "partial 16S ribosomal RNA". It matches the Rfam family "Bacterial small subunit ribosomal RNA", at positions 28 to 507 of the family's 1533-position model. The record is from RNAcentral.
GAUGAACGCUGGCGGCGUGCCUAAUACAUGCAAGUCGAGCGAACGGACGAGAAGCUUGCUUUUCUGAUGUUAGCGGCGGACAGGGGAGUAACACGUGGAUAACCUACCUAUAAGACUGGGAUAAAUUCGGGAAACCGGAGCUAAUACCGGAUAAUAUUUUGAACCGCAUGGUUCAAAAGUGAAAGACGGUCUUGCUGUCACUUAUAGAUGGAUCCGCGCUGCAUUAGCUAGUUGGUAAGGUAACGGCUUACCAAGGCAACGAUGCAUAGCCGACCUGAGAGGGUGAUCAGCCACACUGGAACUGAGACACGGUCCAGACUCCUACGGGAGGCAGCAGUAGGGAAUCUUCCGCAAUGGGCGAAAGCCUGACGGAGCAACGCCGCGUGAGUGAUGAAGGUCUUCGGAUCGUAAAACUCUGUUAUUAGGGAAGAACAUAUGUGUAAGUAACUGUGCACAUCUUGACGGUACCUAAUCAGAAAGCCACGGCUAACUACGUG